This 387-nucleotide long non-coding RNA is filed under the name Ananas comosus (pineapple). RNAcentral describes it as "long non-coding RNA (ACOM_LNC017994)". Lineage: Eukaryota; Viridiplantae; Streptophyta; Magnoliopsida; Poales; Bromeliaceae. The record is from RNAcentral.
GCUAGGGGUGUAGAAGAAAAGAAAAGGAAAGAAUAAACAAUGGUGUAAUAAUUUUGAUUGUAUUUGAAAGUUAAAUGCAUGUAAAAUGUGUAAUUAUGAUGUAAAAUAUAUCUAGUGAAUGUGAAUACUUGUAAUAGCAAGUAAAUUAUGUUUUUGAUACUUCCUUAUGCAAUCUUUGAUUGAAAUGUGUUCCUGGUUGGAACUUUGUACAUUGUAUUGAUUGCGACGCCUUGAAUGUACAGGGGAGACUCUGUCCGCGGUACCGGAGAAAUCCUGUCCGUUCGGCGGUUUCUCGACGUGCCUGAAACCGGCCAAAUAGGCGGGCUCGGGGCGUGACAUUCAUGAAGCAAUCUCAUUUAGUUUCAAGUGAGAUUCAUGAAUGUAAGG